Molecule: long non-coding RNA, 327 nt
Filed under: Hordeum vulgare
Lineage: Eukaryota; Viridiplantae; Streptophyta; Magnoliopsida; Poales; Poaceae
Description: long non-coding RNA (HVUL_LNC004064)
Source: RNAcentral
CUUAUUAUUGCUAUUCUAUCGCGACGAUAGAUCACGUGGUUGACGAAGGACUUGGACUCGAAGACUUCAAAGACCUCGGAGACUUUGCUGACCAAGGCAAGCAUCCCUUUGACCGUGUCCAAGAAACUUGACUUGCAUGUCAUAUGAUACUCUACUUAUGCAUAUUUUCCUGUUGUAACGGAGACCCCCCCCCCAUGUUGGGUUGUCCCCAAUGAACACCUCAUUGAAACUUGAAUUUGGGCAUGACCCCACCAUCUAUGAGGGUUGUGCAUAUGGGAUGUAGACAGUUGCUAGUAGGUGCUACGCAAGAAGGGAUGGGUAUAUGCA